RNAcentral lists this ribosomal RNA (332 nucleotides) under uncultured bacterium. RNAcentral describes it as "bacterial SSU rRNA". It matches the Rfam family "Bacterial small subunit ribosomal RNA", at positions 568 to 898 of the family's 1533-position model. The record is from RNAcentral.
CGUGUAGGCGGUUUGUCAAGUCGGGUGUGAAAGCCUGGGGCUCAGCCCCAGAAGUGCAUCCGAAACUAGCGAGCUAGAGCGCGAUAGAGGAGGGUGGAAUUCCUGGUGUAGCGGUGAAAUGCGUAGAUAUCAGGAGGAACACCGGCGGCGAAGGCGGCCCUCUGGAUCGUUGCUGACGCUGAGACGCGAAAGCGUGGGGAGCAAACAGGAUUAGAUACCCUGGUAGUCCACGCCUUAAACGAUGGGUACUAGGUGUUCGGGGUGUUGACCCCCUGAGUGCCGCAGUUAACGCAUUAAGUACCCCGCCUGGGGACCACGGCCGCAAGGUUAAA